This 345-nucleotide unclassified non-coding RNA is filed under the name soil metagenome. Its description in RNAcentral is "partial contains 5.8S ribosomal RNA, internal transcribed spacer 2, and large subunit ribosomal RNA". The stretch from base 3 to 120 matches the Rfam family "5.8S ribosomal RNA", at positions 37 to 154 of the family's 154-position model. The record is from RNAcentral.
GGUGAAGAACGCAGCGAAAUGCGAUACGUAAUGUGAAUUGCAGAAUUCAGUGAAUCAUCGAGUCUUUGAACGCACAUUGCGCCCCCUGGUAUUCCGGGGGGCAUGCCUGUCCGAGCGUCAUUGCUGCCCUCAAGCACGGCUUGUGUGUUGGGCCUCCGUCCUCCUCCCGGGGGACGGGCCCGAAAGGCAGCGGCGGCACCGCGUCCGGUCCUCGAGCGUAUGGGGCUUCGUCACCCGCUCUUGUAGGCCCGGCCGGCGCUUGCCGACACAUCAAUCUUUUUUCCAGGUUGACCUCGGAUCAGGUAGGGAUACCCGCUGAACUUAAGCAUAUCAAUAAGCGGAGGA